Molecule: long non-coding RNA, 154 nt
Organism: Manacus vitellinus (golden-collared manakin)
Lineage: Eukaryota; Metazoa; Chordata; Aves; Passeriformes; Pipridae
Exons: 3
Source: RefSeq, a predicted model, not a curated record
AAAAAUACGGCUCUGAAGAUACUCUGGGCAGCCUUUUUUGAGACCAGAACUGUUACAAAGUGCACUACCACCGUGUCCCAGUGCCUACACAGCAGACAAAAGAUGGUGCAAGCAGAUGGAUUUCAAUCAUUCUGCCACAGGAGGAAAAGAUUUU